RNAcentral lists this ribosomal RNA (346 nucleotides) under uncultured bacterium. RNAcentral's name for it is "partial 16S ribosomal RNA". It matches the Rfam family "Bacterial small subunit ribosomal RNA", at positions 338 to 681 of the family's 1533-position model. The record is from RNAcentral.
CCUACGGGAGGCAGCAGUGAGGAAUAUUGGUCAAUGGACGAGAGUCUGAACCAGCCAAGUAGCGUGAAGGAUGACUGCCCGAUGGGGUGUAAACUUCUUUUAUAGGGGAAUAAAAUGUUCCACGGGUGGGAUUUUGUAUGUACCAUAUGAAUAAGGAUCGGCUAACUCCGUGCCAGCAGCCUCGGUAAUACGGAGGAUCCGAGCGUUAUCCGGAUUUAUUGGGUUGAAAGGGAGCGUAGGUGGCUUGUUAAGUCAGUUGUGAAAGUUUGCGGCUCAACCGUAAAAUUGCAGUUGAAACUGGCAGUCUUGCGUACAGUAGAGGUGGGCGGACUUCGUGGUGUAGCGG